UUCAUCGCGAGGUGGAAUCUGGAGGAAGCUGGAGGCAAAUGCACGAGCCAAGGUACACGAACUGGAUUUGAGGCAGGGAUCACAGAUGAGUCACUUAUGCAUAACGAAAUCCGAAGUCGCCAAGGGCAUCCCUGUAGACUCCAGUGGUUGCGGGCAGAAAAAUGGCGCU
Molecule: non-coding RNA, 169 nt
Organism: Paenibacillus polymyxa SC2
Lineage: Bacteria; Bacillati; Bacillota; Bacilli; Caryophanales; Paenibacillaceae
Source: Rfam